AAUCAAGUACAUAAAAAUAAACCAGAGGGAACAACGUGCAAAGCAGAAUAAGGAAUGACCAACUUUACACUUCUCAGCAGUGUUGGUGGUAUGAAUGGUCCUCCUGUGAAGGUCUCCAGGAGCCAGCAGCACAAUAAACCACAGAGAUUUUUGUAAAGCUCCACAAUGCAAUUUCUUAGUCUUAAAUUAUGCUGUAAAGGAAUUGAAUAAUUCCUUCAAUUAGAUUUGUAUUGCAGACAGUAGGCACUAAAUAAAUGAGGGAGGUGUAGCACUCUGUAACUACAGACAGCUAUUUUUAAAGAUAUCUUCAGUCAGUCUUAAAUUAAUCUUGACCUUUCUGUCAUCUUUUUUUGUCUGGGACAGACAUUCCCCAUGCUCCUUUACAUACAGUUUGAAUAUCCUUUCAGUUUGAAUGAGUAAGCCUGGCAGUCAGUUAGAACUUUGCCUUGAGUGACCUGACCACUUUCUUCAGAAAGAGCUUUUCCUGAGAGUUUGUCUUUAAUUGAUGAUACACUGAGUGUAAUUUUGUCUUGAAAAAUAAUUAUACAAUGGAUGGAAAUAGAUGUUACUGAUAUGAAGUAGUAAUGGACAAUGGUACUGUGUUCCUGUACAGGAAAAUCAGCAAUGAAAAUAUUUCUCCUUGUCCUGCUCUUAGUUAAAAUUGACUGAUGAGAGAUUUGCUGGUGGAAAUCAUCCUGGAUGUGGAUCUGCCUCAAGAACCUCCAGACAGCACAUUUUUCAGAUGGAUGGAAGUGCCCCAUGUGUCACAGCACUGGAGAUGAGGCUGUUCUUCUGGAGAUGACAUUCAGACCUCAUUCUGCUGAAACAACAACUUUGAAUUCUUUCCCAUAA
RNAcentral lists this long non-coding RNA (852 nucleotides) under Coturnix japonica (Japanese quail). Its description in RNAcentral is "lncRNA (ENSCJPG00005012812.1)". The record is from RNAcentral. Lineage: Eukaryota; Metazoa; Chordata; Aves; Galliformes; Phasianidae.